CCCCCCCCAGUUUUAUAUACUUUCACACUUAAGCAACCUUACUAGCUUUAAGUAUAUAAAUCUUAGUGAUCUAUAUGACUGGAAUGUAGUUUUAUCUGCGGUUACUCAUUAAAAGUCUAAUAGGAGGUUGUUGACUCGGUUAAACACCAAAUCAUUUUUAAAUAAAAUAAUGAAAUUGACUUAUCCUGUAAAUAUUGUCCUUGCGGAACGGAACAACUAAUUCUUCGACUUCUACUCGGUCUCUUUUCUCGUGGGGUUUUAUCGCUUUAUCGACGUAGUGCGUUAAAAAUUGUCUUAGUACUACCCAGUGACGCAGAAUCGCACUACACCGCCACCGUCGCUAAUUCUUGAGAAAAAGGUAAUCCCUUGGCGGACUCAAGCGAAAUACCUGGGGGUCAUUGUCGAAUGUUAAACCCUCUUGGCGGUCGCAUGUAAACUGGAUCGCGGCGAAGAUGAGGGUGGCGGUUCAAACUCUUUAACCUUUGUAUACUGAAUCUAUCAUCCUUUCAGCCACUUUGUUAGAACGGCACCCUAUAAAUACGAUGGGUUUAUCUCCGUAGAAAAAGGAUAUUAGACAGAAAGGUUAUCUGCAAAGAGACCGCUUUCUCGAGAUAUUUCUCUAUCUAAAUUAUUUUUGGAUGGUAGGUUGGUUCGCACUAGGUGCUAAACGAGGUUCGCCUUCUACUAUUGCAGUCUUAAAGAAAAAUUUAUUGGAAACUAAUUUUAAUUGUUAGCGUAAUUUACCUGAAGCUUUUAAGGAAAAAAUAGUUUGUUUGCUUAUAGCUGAUCUUAACUAAAACCAGUGCUUAGAAAAACUGAAAAAUUAAAAACUAACUUUACUUGGACUGGAAAGCGGGCUCGAGUCACCGAAGCAAAGGAUCCCGUGAGAUCGAGGCGUCGUCGCAUGCUAGAAAACGAGCAGCUUUUACGAAGCUUUAUAAUAAAAAAACAGAAAAAAAUAGUAAAGUACGGAGGAAGCCGAAAUCACUGCCGUUUCUGCUGCCGCCGCUAAUUUUGGCCGCUUCGGAGAGAGAAAAACAUUUUGUUCCAGUAAAACUUUUUGUUCGCUGAACGAACAUGUGUGAUUUAGGGCGGCGAGGAGAAGAGAUUGUUCGACUGCAAGCUUGUCGUCCUCCUUUAAUAA
Molecule: long non-coding RNA, 1144 nt
Organism: Zophobas morio
Lineage: Eukaryota; Metazoa; Arthropoda; Insecta; Coleoptera; Tenebrionidae
Exons: 9
Source: RefSeq, a predicted model, not a curated record